This 484-nucleotide ribosomal RNA is filed under the name uncultured bacterium. RNAcentral's name for it is "partial 16S ribosomal RNA". It matches the Rfam family "Bacterial small subunit ribosomal RNA", at positions 28 to 507 of the family's 1533-position model. The record is from RNAcentral.
AUUGAACGCUGGCGGCAUGCUUUACACAUGCAAGUCGAACGGCAGCGCGGGCUUCGGCCUGGCGGCGAGUGGCGAACGGGUGAGUAAUGCAUCGGAACGUGCCCAGCAGUGGGGGAUAGUCCCGCGAAAGCCGGAUUAAUACCGCAUACGACCUGAGGGUGCAAGCGGGGGACCGAAAGGCCUCGCGCUAUUGGAGCGGCCGAUGUCGGAUUUGCUAGUUGGUGGGGUAAAGGCUUACCAAGGCGACGAUCCGUAGCUGGUCUGAGAGGACGACCAGCCACACUGGGACUGAGACACGGCCCAGACUCCUACGGGAGGCAGCAGUGGGGAAUGUUGGACAAUGGGGGCAACCCUGAUCCAGCCAUGCCGCGUGCGGGAAGAAGGCCUUCGGGUUGUAAACCGCUUUUGUUCGGGAAGAAAUCCUCUGGGCUAAUACCCCGGGGGGAUGACGGUACCGGAAGAAUAAGCACCGGCUAACUACGUG